RNAcentral lists this unclassified non-coding RNA (369 nucleotides) under soil metagenome. Its description in RNAcentral is "partial contains 5.8S ribosomal RNA, internal transcribed spacer 2, and large subunit ribosomal RNA". The stretch from base 1 to 120 matches the Rfam family "5.8S ribosomal RNA", at positions 35 to 154 of the family's 154-position model. The record is from RNAcentral.
GAUGAAGAACGUAGCGAAAUGCGAUAAGUAAUGUGAAUUGCAGAAUUCAGUGAAUCAUCGAAUCUUUGAACGCACAUUGCGCCCGCCAGCACUCUGGCGGGCAUGCCUGUUCGAGCGUCAUUUCGACCAUCAGGCCCUCCGGGCUUGUGUUGGGGCUCCCUGCGGCUGUCCGCAGGCCCUGAAAACCAGUGGCGGGCUUGCAAAGUCACACCGAGCGCAGUAGAUUUUUUUCAUCUCGCUCAGGGCGUGCGUGCGGGCGCCGGCCGUAAAAGACGAGAGCGCGGCCUCGGACGCCCACAAAUACCACAAGGUUGACCUCGGAUCAGGUAGGAAUACCCGCUGAACUUAAGCAUAUCAAUAAGCGGAGGA